RNAcentral lists this long non-coding RNA (368 nucleotides) under Ananas comosus (pineapple). Its description in RNAcentral is "long non-coding RNA (ACOM_LNC022735)". Lineage: Eukaryota; Viridiplantae; Streptophyta; Magnoliopsida; Poales; Bromeliaceae. The record is from RNAcentral.
AUUUAGUUAUAACUCCAAUAAAAGCGUUUGGUUCGAGGAUAAGCAAAAAAUGACUAUUCCAUGAAUAGUUAUAAAUUGAGGUAUAAGGGGGAAUUAGAUCAAUUUUGCGUUUGAAUAAAAAUUAGGUUAUUCCUGGGAAUAAAAAAAAUAGCGUUUGAUUAGGUAAGAUGGAAUAAGAAAGAUAGUAGGUUUUAUAAAUAAAAAAUUAUCAUAUUAUCCUCUUAUUAUAUUUGAAUUUAAAUUUUUAAAUUUUUAAAUAUAUAUUUUUAAAUUUAAAAUUUUAACUUUGAAAUUUUAAAUUUUGAAACUUAAAAUCUCAAAUUUUAAAUUCAAAAUUUUAAAUUUUAAAUUUCAAACUUUAAAUUUAA